Molecule: ribosomal RNA, 459 nt
Filed under: uncultured bacterium
Lineage: Bacteria
Description: partial 16S ribosomal RNA
Rfam family: Bacterial small subunit ribosomal RNA
Source: RNAcentral
CCUACGGGAGGCAGCAGUGAGGCAUAUUGGUCAAUGGAUGAGAGUCUGAACCAGCCAAGUAGCGUGAAGGAUGACUGCCCUAUGGGUUGUAAACUUCUUUUAUAUGGGAAUAAAAUGUUCCACGUGUGGGAUUUUGUAUGUACCAUAUGAAUAAGGAUCGGCUAACUCCGUGCCAGCAGCCGCGGUAAUACGGAGGAUCCGAGCGUUAUCCGGAUUUAUUGGGUUUAAAGGGUGCGCAGGCGGAGGUGCAAGUCAGCGGUCAAAUUGCGGGGCUCAACCCCGUACUGCCGUUGACACUGCAUCCCUUGAGUGCGCGAGAAGUAUGCGGAAUGCGUGGUGGAGCGGUGAAAUGCAUAGAUAUCACGCAGAACUCCGAUUGCGAAGGCAGCAUACCGGCGCGCAACUGACGCUGAGGCACGAAGGCCAGGGGAGCGAAAGGGAUUAGAUACCCGUGUAGUC